GUGGGGAAUAUUGCACAAUGGGGGAAACCCUGAUGCAGCAACGCCACGUGUGGGAAGAAGCAUUUCGGUGUGUAAACCACUGUCAUGAGGGAAUAAGGCCUGUCUUCGGGCAGGAUUGAAUGUACCUUGAGAGGAAGCACCGGCAAACUUCGUGCCAGCAGCCGCGGUAAUACGAGGGGUGCAAGCGUUGUUCGGAAUUACUGGGCGUAAAGGGAGCGUAGGCGGAGAUUCAAGCGGAUUGUACAAUCCCGGGGCCCAACCCCGGCUCUGCAGUCCGAACUGGAUCUCUUGGAUAGUUCAGGGGCAGGCGGAAUUCCUGGUGUAGCGGUGGAAUGCGUAGAGAUCAGGAAGAACACCGAUGGCGAAGGCAGCCUGCUGGGGACUUAUCGACGCUGAGGCUCGAAAGUGCGGGUAGCAAACAGG
This 423-nucleotide ribosomal RNA is filed under the name uncultured rumen bacterium. RNAcentral's name for it is "bacterial SSU rRNA". It matches the Rfam family "Bacterial small subunit ribosomal RNA", at positions 354 to 776 of the family's 1533-position model. The record is from RNAcentral.